UACGUAGGUGGCAAGCGUUGUCCGGAAUUAUUGGGCGUAAAGCGCGCGCAGGCGGUCCUUUAAGUCUGAUGUGAAAGCCCACGGCUCAACCGUGGAGGGUCAUUGGAAACUGGGGGACUUGAGUGCAGAAGAGGAGAGUGGAAUUCCACGUGUAGCGGUGAAAUGCGUAGAGAUGUGGAGGAACACCAGUGGCGAAGGCGACUCUCUGGUCUGUAACUGACGCUGAGGCGCGAAAGCGUGGGGAGCGAACAGGAUUAGAAACCCUCGUAGUCC
Molecule: ribosomal RNA, 273 nt
Filed under: uncultured bacterium
Lineage: Bacteria
Description: partial 16S ribosomal RNA
Rfam family: Bacterial small subunit ribosomal RNA
Source: RNAcentral